GACGAACGCUGGCGGCGUGCUUAACACAUGCAAGUCGAACGGAAAGGCCCUGCUUGCAGGGUACUCGAGUGGUGAACGGGUGAGUAACACGUGGGUGAUCUGCCCUGCACUUCGGGAUAAGCCUGGGAAACUGGGUCUAAUACCGGAUAUGACCUUCCCUGUAGUGUGGGGGGUGGAAAGAUUUAUCGGUGUGGGAUGAGCCCGCGGCCUAUCAGCUUGUUGGUGGGGUAAUGGCCUACCAAGGCGUCGACGGGUAGCCGGCCUGAGAGGGUGGACGGCCACAUUGGGACUGAGAUACGGCCCAGACUCCUACGGGAGGCAGCAGUGGGGAAUAUUGCACAAUGGGCGGAAGCCUGAUGCAGCGACGCCGCGUGGGGGAUGACGGCCUUCGGGUUGUAAACCUCUUUCGACAGGGACGAAGCUUCGGUGACGGUACCUGUAUAAGAAGCACCGGCUAACUACGUG
Molecule: ribosomal RNA, 465 nt
Filed under: uncultured bacterium
Lineage: Bacteria
Description: partial 16S ribosomal RNA
Rfam family: Bacterial small subunit ribosomal RNA
Source: RNAcentral